RNAcentral lists this ribosomal RNA (423 nucleotides) under uncultured bacterium. RNAcentral describes it as "bacterial SSU rRNA". It matches the Rfam family "Bacterial small subunit ribosomal RNA", at positions 24 to 432 of the family's 1533-position model. The record is from RNAcentral.
UCAGAACGAACGCUGGCGGCGUGCUUAACACAUGCAAGUCGAACGUGAUCCGGAGCUUGCUCCGGUGAAAGUGGCGCACGGGUGAGUAACGCGUGGAUAAUCUGCCCUGGUAUCUGGGAUAACAUCUCGAAAGGGGUGCUAAUACCGGAUAAGCCUACGGUCUCUUCGGAGUCUGCAGGAAAAGGUGGCCUCUAUUUAUAAGCUACCGUAUCAGGAUGAGUCCGCGUACCAUUAGCUAGUUGGUGGGGUAAUGGCCCACCAAGGCUACGAUGGUUAGCUGGUCUGAGAGGAUGAUCAGCCACACUGGAACUGAGACACGGUCCAGACUCCUACGGGAGGCAGCAGUGGGGAAUUUUGCGCAAUGGGGGAAACCCUGACGCAGCAACGCCGCGUGAGUGAUGAAGGCUUUCGGGUCGUAAAGCU